CGGUGAGUCAGAGUGCCGGAGGGGAGCAACGGGAGGAGACGUGACGCAUAGCAAGUAAGACGUUUCUGUAACUGUUACUGAGAAUGUUGUUGAUGUUCGGCCGGCUACUUGCAAAUUAUUUUUUUUAUUUUAAAAUACAAAAUACAUGUAUUUUAAUUAAAUACAAUACUUUGGUCUUUAGGGUAUUUUGUAGUUGUAUUUUGUAAUUUAUGCCAAUCCUUGGCUGUGUCCUAUGUCCUAAGGAGAGGAUGUUUUGUUCUGGCAGGUGUCUGGUCCUGGUGGAUGUGCUGACCAGCAACACCUCAGUGCCCUGCUCCAGGAGCUCAUCCAGAUCCCAAGGCAGCUAGGAGAGGUGGCCGCCUUCGGAGGGAGCAACGUGGAGCCCAGCAUGGCCAGCUGCUUUCGCAUGGCUCAUGGGAAAACCUCCAUCCAGCUGCCCCAGUCCGUGGUGGGCUGCCCGUGCUGCAGUGAGUGGUCCAGGCAGAGAACGCCCAACACCAGGCCAAGUGCUCCGUGAACUCUAUUUCAACCAUAUAGAGAAUGUCAAUAAUGUUUGGGAUUUUAACUCCUUUCCCCUCAGAUACUGAAGCCUCAAGCAGUUCAAUGUGGACACUUGUCAGAGCUGCUUCCUGUCCUGGCGUACUACCAAGGGCAAGGCUUUAAUUUACCCCAUCAUGGAGUACUACAGUACACCCCAGUAAAGCGUAAAUCAUAGUCCACAGACGCUGAGAUGCAAUAGUCCGGUGUCCCAUCUGAGACCACCAAAGCGGGGGAUGCACAUCCCGAACGCGCACCUUUCCACAAUUCCUAACCAAUACGACUCCAGUAGCUGUCCUCUAUUCAUUUCAAUGUUUUGACAGUUGGAGAAAUUGUUGAGCUGUGCUGAGAAUUCGAAAAGUAUGAAAGCCAACGGUCCAAUGUUCUAGAACACUGCUGUGCGUACGCGUACACGCUUUGGACUCUGAUAAACCCAUAAGACUAAUUUCAUUAUGCCAUCAUUGUUUACUACACCCAAGCAUGAAUUCUAUAAUAUUUCCAUGGAAUUGAAAUGUAUGUUAUUUUCUGAUUUCUGAACAGACCACUUCAGGGGAGAGGAUGCGUGAUUUUGCCAAAACACUGAAGAACAAGUUCAGAUGUACAGUCUGUCUUGGGGGCAGGGAGUGAGGAUAAUUAGUCCUAAAGCCUGGGAGGUCAGAACAUCCAGACUGUCAGCACAGAUUGACACUCCUUAUCCCCGGCACUGUUAUGUUUAGCUCAGCCACGCAUCUGUCAGUUCCUUUACUUAAAUGUUGAAAAGUUAUCUGUAGUAGGCUAACUCCUUAAUUUUAAUUUGUACAUUAUACAUGCAUGCAGUCUUUAUAUGUCAUUAUAUUCUGCCCUCAGCAGCACUGCUCACGAUGUGCCUUUUCUCUGAAAUAAUCUUCUCCACACAGAUUAACAUGAUGCCACUAAUGAGUAUGGUGGAGUGGCGUGGCGUGACUCCCUUGUUUGGGCUUAAUCAUAUUAAAACAUUUGGUCUGGCGUGUC
Molecule: long non-coding RNA, 1527 nt
Organism: Coregonus clupeaformis (lake whitefish)
Lineage: Eukaryota; Metazoa; Chordata; Actinopteri; Salmoniformes; Salmonidae
Exons: 2
Source: RefSeq, a predicted model, not a curated record